Long non-coding RNA from Armigeres subalbatus, 1326 nucleotides. RefSeq lists it as uncharacterized. NCBI's taxonomy places the organism in Eukaryota, Metazoa, Arthropoda, Insecta, Diptera, Culicidae. The transcript has 4 exons. The record is from RefSeq and is a predicted model, not a curated record.
UCAAGUGUUCUUCUACUCGAGUGAAUUGACUGGUAUUUCAACAUUUAAGUUCACCUAUCUUUGUUUCAUACUGCAACUUCUACUUUGUCGUGUCCACUGAGAGAUUGCAUCUUUACCUUGGAUAAACAAAAUACCUAGACGGUAGAAAUUAGUUGACACCUAUUCCCCCACCGCUAGAGGCCACAACCGACUAUUGGAAAGUUUAGCGCUCACCGGCUGGCGAACGAAAACGGCCUACUACUAAUUGAUUUCGCCGUCUCCACACUCAAAUUAAACAACUGAUACAUUAUAAGUGCCUUUGCACUUAUAGCUCAAUCGAAUAGAGAAAAAUAUUAGUUAUGUGCGAAAUAUGUAAAUUAAGAGAUCGCUAUUGAGUUGUAUAACUGCGACCAAUAUUUUUUAAGUGCGCACUAUUGAGAUAAAUAAUGCUCACUCAUGAUAUCCAAGUUCGACAAUUUGAACAUGGACACAACCAAAAGAGCACGGCCACAACCUCAACAUAUUUCCUCGUGUGAAAAUGUUAACAAUUGUCGAAUGUGUUCGUAAUAAGGAUUUCUCUGGCUCAAUUAUGCAGAGGUGGAGGAAAUGCACAACAUCGCAGAGGAAAGCUAAAUAUUGCCGUUGAAUGUUCUCAGUUGAACCAUUCUACGCAUGACAUCCAAGAUUCCAAAAACAUGAGGCUCGAGAAUGCGAUAAAAGUUUUCUGAUGAACAUCUGUGCUAUUUACUUUGAACUUCCGGAAAGCAAUCAGAUGCAAGACGUACAUUUUAGCGUUUCCAGUAUCCAGAAAGAUCGACGAGAACUGACAACGGGCUUUCCGGAGGCGAAGCAAAUGAACUUGAAGUGAUUUGAAAACUUAGGACUUGAUUCCGAGUGAAAGUUAAUCCAGGAUUGGAACUGGUUCUAGGAUGGCAGAACUCUCAAACAAUAAUACCAUAGCCGAUCUCCGCUGGUGUGUCCCGGAUGCAACAAAAGAAUUCGGAGAGGAUAAUGCUUCCACAGCGUCCAGUUACCAACUUCCAUACCGAGACCAACAGCUUCAGGAUCAGGACAGUCAGGAUCAAACCAACAAAUAUCAUCCCAUGAAAGCGGUUGGAAUCUGUUCGAUGGAGCAGCGCUACUUCUAGGAAGAAAUCAGCAAGUCAGAUGUUAACUUGCAGCAAAGUAAGAUAAAUUGUUAUUGUUCUUCUAUAAGCGAAUAUAAUUGCUUAAAUAAACAAGUAUUGAGUAGAAAAGAAUUGAUGUAUGUUCAUUAUAUGCGGAUUAUUUCUUAUUUAUGAAAUAUGUGCGAAGCUAAUAAUGACUGCUUGUAUAAGAAGCAACAUU